CAAAACUUAUGUGAAUAUUUUCCUUGGGUAUACAAAAAUCAAAAAAAUUGUUUUCAUAGUAGUAGUAGUAGCCUUUUCUUCCAAAAAUUCAGAAACUAAAUUUUCGUAGAUGCUAAACUAGGACGAACAAAUUAUUGGGUCCGCUAAUCUAAAUUAAUUGUUAAACUAAAUGCAAUGUCGACCGGUACAAGCUCAACAUUCAAACCUAAGAUUUUGAAAAAAAUUAUUAGCUCUUCAAGUGAUGAAGGAUUUUUACCAUCUUCAACUAGAAGGCGUCUAGUAAAAAAUAUUCCUUUAAAAAGAAAUAUCGAUUAUGAUUCUGAGCCUGAAGAACCAUGCCAUGAUAGGCCGCAAAGUAGACCUAGUCGAAGACUAUCGCGUCGCAGAGCACUUGGUAGAAGUCGUCGCCGUUCCAAAAAACCAACUUAUCGCUUGCGCUCAAGGAAACCUAUGUAAAUAAAGUGCUGAAAACAAUGUUAAAUGAAAGAGCUGAAAACUAUUGGAAAAUAAAGACUUAAUUAUUAUUGCAAA
Molecule: long non-coding RNA, 531 nt
Organism: Eupeodes corollae
Lineage: Eukaryota; Metazoa; Arthropoda; Insecta; Diptera; Syrphidae
Exons: 2
Source: RefSeq, a predicted model, not a curated record